RNAcentral lists this transfer-messenger RNA (352 nucleotides) under Limnochordia. RNAcentral's name for it is "JAAZMF01 sp012798955 Standard tmRNA". It matches the Rfam family "transfer-messenger RNA". Rfam says of the family: Bacterial tmRNA, also known as 10Sa RNA or SsrA, is named for its dual tRNA and mRNA-like properties. Its role is to liberate the mRNA from a stalled ribosome. The record is from RNAcentral. Lineage: Bacteria; Bacillati; Bacillota. RNAcentral also lists the same sequence under 1 other name.
GGGGGUGAAUUAGUUUCGACACAGGUAAGGGUGGCAGUGUAAGCGAGCCGAGGUCCCAUGCCUCGCUAAACAGUGGGAACCUAAAUUAAACGCAAACGAUAAUUACGCUCUAGCUGCUGCUUAACAGCGGCUACACUCUACCUUUCCGUGCCUACCGGCGGGGAUAGAGUGUCAUAAUGUAGGCUACCGCUCUAGGGAUGCUCAUAACUAGAGGGGGAAACCUGAUGAGCUAGUCGCUACCUAACCCUGCUCUUGGGGUCAGGCGGAGGCGAAUGCUAAACAAGAGCUACGCUCGUAGAAAGCAUUGUGGCUCCACUUGUGGACAGCGGUGCAACUCCGCUCACCUCCACCA